AACGGGUGAGUAACACGUGAGCAACCUGCCCCCGACUCCGGGAUAAGCCGGGGAAACCCGGUCUAAUACCGGAUAGGACGCCCUGUCGCAUGGCGGGGUGUGGAAAGGUUUCUUUCCGGUCGGGGAGGGGCUCGCGGCCUAUCAGCUUGUUGGUGGGGUGAUGGCCUACCAAGGCGAUUACGGGUAGCCGGCCUGAGAGGGCGACCGGCCACACUGGGACUGAGACACGGCCCAGACUCCUGCGGGAGGCAGCAGUGGGGAAUAUUGCGCAAUGGGCGGAAGCCUGACGCAGCGACGCCGCGUGGGGGAUGACGGCCUUCGGGUUGUAAACCUCUUUUACCACUGACGCAGGCCCGUGCUUUUGUGCGGGUUGACGGUAGGUGGGGAAUAAGGACCGGCCAACUACGUGCCAGCAGCCGCGGUAAUACGUAGGGUCCGAGCGUUGUCCGGAAUUAUUGGGCGU
This 463-nucleotide ribosomal RNA is filed under the name Streptomonospora sp. RNAcentral's name for it is "bacterial SSU rRNA". It matches the Rfam family "Bacterial small subunit ribosomal RNA", at positions 101 to 561 of the family's 1533-position model. Lineage: Bacteria; Bacillati; Actinomycetota; Actinomycetes; Streptosporangiales; Nocardiopsidaceae. The record is from RNAcentral.